RNAcentral lists this microRNA (21 nucleotides) under Oryza sativa (Asian cultivated rice). RNAcentral's name for it is "osa-miR1852". Lineage: Eukaryota; Viridiplantae; Streptophyta; Magnoliopsida; Poales; Poaceae. The record is from miRBase by way of RNAcentral.
AUAUGGAUUCAGAAUGCAGGU